GUGGGGAAUAUUGGACAAUGGGCGCAAGCCUGAUCCAGCCAUGCCGCGUGAGUGAUGAAGGCCUUAGGGUUGUAAAGCUCUUUCACCGGAGAAGAUAAUGACGGUAUCCGGAGAAGAAGCCCCGGCUAACUUCGUGCCAGCAGCCGCGGUAAUACGAAGGGGGCUAGCGUUGUUCGGAAUUACUGGGCGUAAAGCGCACGUAGGCGGACAUUUAAGUCAGGGGUGAAAUCCCGGGGCUCAACCUCGGAACUGCCUUUGAUACUGGGUGUCUAGAGUAUGGAAGAGGUAAGUGGAAUUGCGAGUGUAGAGGUGAAAUUCGUAGAUAUUCGCAGGAACACCAGUGGCGAAGGCGGCUUACUGGUCCAUUACUGACGCUGAGGUGCGAAAGCGUGGGGAGCAAACAGGAUUAGAAACCCUGGUAGUCC
Molecule: ribosomal RNA, 425 nt
Filed under: uncultured bacterium
Lineage: Bacteria
Description: partial 16S ribosomal RNA
Rfam family: Bacterial small subunit ribosomal RNA
Source: RNAcentral